Molecule: ribosomal RNA, 442 nt
Filed under: uncultured bacterium
Lineage: Bacteria
Description: partial 16S ribosomal RNA
Rfam family: Bacterial small subunit ribosomal RNA
Source: RNAcentral
CCUACGGGAGGCAGCAGUGGGGAAUAUUGCACAAUGGGGGAAACCCUGAUGCAGCGACGCCGCGUGGGCGAAGAAGUAUUUCGGUAUGUAAAGCCCUAUCAGCAGGGGAGAAGAAAUGACGGUACCUGAGUAAGAAGCACCGGCUAAAUACGUGCCAGCAGCCGCGGUAAUACGUAUGGUGCAAGCGUUAUCCGGAUUUACUGGGUGUAAAGGGAGCGCAGGCGGCACGGCAAGCCUGAUGUGAAAGCCCGGGGCCUAACCGCGGGACUGCAGUGGGAACUACCGGGCUGGAGUGCCGGAGAGGUAGGCGGAAUUCCUGGUGUAGCGGUGAAAUGCGUAGAUAUUAGGAGGAACACCAGUGGCGAAGGCGGCCUACUGGACGGUGACUGACGCUGAGGCUCGAAAGCGUGGGGAGCAAACAGGAUUAGAUACCCGAGUAGUC